AGGGGCAUCAUGAGGUAGCAAUACCUUGAUGGCGACCGGCGCACGGGUGAGUAACGCGUAUGCAACCUACCUAUAACAGGGGCAUAACACUGAGAAAUUGGUACUAAUUCCCCAUAAUAUUCGGAGAGGCAUCUUUUAUGGUUGAAAAUUCCGAUGGUUAGAGAUGGGCAUGCGUUGUAUUAGCUAGUUGGUGGGGUAACGGCUCACCAAGGCGACGAUACAUAGGGGGACUGAGAGGUUAACCCCACACUGGUACUGAGACACGGACCAGACUCC
RNAcentral lists this ribosomal RNA (276 nucleotides) under uncultured Alistipes sp. RNAcentral's name for it is "partial 16S ribosomal RNA". It matches the Rfam family "Bacterial small subunit ribosomal RNA", at positions 65 to 339 of the family's 1533-position model. Lineage: Bacteria; Pseudomonadati; Bacteroidota; Bacteroidia; Bacteroidales; Rikenellaceae. The record is from RNAcentral.